GACGUAGGGUGCGAGCGUUGUCCGGAGUUAUUGGGCGUAAAGGGCGCGUAGGCGAUUCGAUGAGUCUUAUGUGAAAGCCCAGAGCUUAACUCUGGAAGUGCACGAGAUACUGUCGAAUUUGAGUUCAGGAGAGGAAGGCAGAAUUCCCGGUGUAGCGGUGAAAUGCGUAGAUAUCGGGAGGAAUACCAGUGGCGAAGGCGGCCUUCUGGACUGACACUGACGCUGAGGCGCGAAAGCCAGGGGAGCAAACGGG
Molecule: ribosomal RNA, 253 nt
Filed under: uncultured bacterium
Lineage: Bacteria
Description: partial 16S ribosomal RNA
Rfam family: Bacterial small subunit ribosomal RNA
Source: RNAcentral